RNAcentral lists this ribosomal RNA (468 nucleotides) under uncultured bacterium. RNAcentral's name for it is "partial 16S ribosomal RNA". It matches the Rfam family "Bacterial small subunit ribosomal RNA", at positions 28 to 507 of the family's 1533-position model. The record is from RNAcentral.
GACGAACGCUGGCGGCGUGCUUAACACAUGCAAGUCGAACGGAAAGGCCCUGCGUUUGUGGGGUGCUCGAGUGGCGAACGGGUGAGUAACACGUGAGUAACCUGCCCUUGACUUUGGGAUAACUUCAGGAAACUGGGGCUACUACCGGAUAGGAGCUCCUGCUGCAUGGUGGGGGUUGGAAAGUUUCGGCGGUUGGGGAUGGACUCGCGGCUUAUCAGCUUGUUGGUGGGGUAGUGGCUUACCAAGGCUUUGACGGGUAGCCGGCCUGAGAGGGUGACCGGCCACAUUGGGACUGAGAUACGGACCAGAGUGCUACGGUAGGCAGCAGUGGGGAAUAUUGCACAAUGGGCGGAAGCCUGAUGCAGCAACGCCGCGUGCGGGAUGACGGCCUUCGGGUUGUAAACCGCUUUCGCCUGUGACGAAGCGUGAGUGACGGUAAUGGGUAAAGAAGCACCGGCUAACUACGUG